RNAcentral lists this long non-coding RNA (959 nucleotides) under Setaria viridis. RNAcentral describes it as "long non-coding RNA (SVIR_LNC009164)". Lineage: Eukaryota; Viridiplantae; Streptophyta; Magnoliopsida; Poales; Poaceae. The record is from RNAcentral.
AAAAAAGGAAUGGUUAAGGAUACAAUCAACCAAGAAAUUAGUACUUCUAACUUCUAAGCUCUAUUCGGUAAAAGUAACUAAUAAGUACAAAUAAAUGAUAAUUGAAAUCGUCCAAAUCACUUCGAGAUCUUGUUUUUAGUUUCUAAUCAUUAGAGGUUUGUGUAAAUCCAUAUGAUUCUCAUUAUUCUAUUUCUCUUUCUUUUCAACCAAUCACUCUUUCAUUCCAUCCUUUUUUUUUUACUCUUCAAUAUCCUUGAGUUCCCAUUUUUCCCCUUCAUCUAACAUAAUAAAAGACGAAAUACAUGAAGAACCCCUAUUGAAAUCGAACUAAUUAAAAUCCAAUAGGAAUCAAAUCAAGAUAUACAAUUGAUAACAAUAUGCUGCAUAGAAUUAGAAUUAGAUAUGGAAUCCAGUUCCAUAUAGAAGGGAAUUCUAUAUAUAUCGGAUUAGAUAAUAAAUCUAACUUAGGAAUAAAAAAACCCAUAUACAUUUAUUUCUUCUAUUUUGUUUGCGUAUUUUCUCAUUUUCUAUUGAACCCGAUUCUAAAAUCAUUCCUUAGAAAUCUGCACAAAAGAUUGUAGGCAUUAAGGAUAUAGAUCUAACCUGCUCCCUAAUGCAUAUAUACUUUACCUCUUCCGUAAUAUAUGCUGCGAUGACGUAGGACCAAACACAAAAUCCUAGGUGAUGUUGUCUAGAUUCUCAAACGAUUACUACGUGCGGUCAUGCUCCCCUCACACGGUCAUUUCAAUUAAUAUGCUGGAGUUGAGAGAAGCUCACCUACAAGCCACUUGAGAAGACUAUCAAUAAUUCACUAAAGUGCUAAAAGUGAUAAUCCAAGGUAAUUAGUACUCCUUCCUUUCCAAAUCAUAGGUUAUUUUAGCUUUUCUAGGUUAAUAAAUAUUGUUAUGCAUCUAGAUAGUGUGUAUGUCUAGAUGCAUAAGGUCAGUCCCAACUCUCCA